Molecule: ribosomal RNA, 193 nt
Filed under: Bacillus cereus
Lineage: Bacteria; Bacillati; Bacillota; Bacilli; Caryophanales; Bacillaceae
Description: partial 23S ribosomal RNA
Rfam family: Bacterial large subunit ribosomal RNA
Source: RNAcentral
UAGGGGCCCCUACCGGGUUACCGAAUUCAGUCAAACUCCGAAUGCCGAUGACUUAUCCUUGGGAGUCAGACUGCGAGUGAUAAGAUCCGUAGUCGAAAGGGAAACAGCCCAGACCGCCAGCUAAGGUCCCAAAGUAUACGUUAAGUGGAAAAGGAUGUGGAGUUGCUUAGACAACCAGGAUGUUGGCUUAGAA